This 502-nucleotide ribosomal RNA is filed under the name uncultured bacterium. RNAcentral's name for it is "partial 16S ribosomal RNA". It matches the Rfam family "Bacterial small subunit ribosomal RNA", at positions 28 to 507 of the family's 1533-position model. The record is from RNAcentral.
GACGAACGCUGGCGGCGUGCUUAACACAUGCAAGUCGAACGGUGAAGGGGCCUGCUUUUGUGGGCCCUGGAUGAGUGGCGAACGGGUGAGUAACACGUGAGUAACCUGCCCCCUUCUUCUGGAUAACCGCAUGAAAGUGUGGCUAAUACGGGAUAUUCUGGGUCUGUCGCAUGAUGGGUCUGGGAAAGAUUGCGCCUUUGGGUGUUUUUGGUGGGGGAUGGGCUCGCGGCCUAUCAGCUUGUUGGUGGGGUGAUGGCCUACCAAGGCGGUGACGGGUAGCAGGACGGAGAGGGUGGACGGUCACACUGGGACUGCGACACGGCCCAGAAUCCUACGGGAGGCAGCAGUGGGGAAUAUUGCACAAUGGGCGCAAGCCUGAUGCAGCGACGCCGCGUGAGGGAUGGAGGCCUUCGGGUUGUAAACCUCUUUCGCCAGUGAAGCAGGCCUGCUACUUGUGGGUGGGUUGACGGUAGCUGGAUAAGAAGCGCCGGCUAACUACGUG